This 217-nucleotide ribosomal RNA is filed under the name uncultured Bacteroidota bacterium. RNAcentral describes it as "uncultured Bacteroidetes bacterium partial 16S ribosomal RNA". It matches the Rfam family "Bacterial small subunit ribosomal RNA", at positions 123 to 334 of the family's 1533-position model. The record is from RNAcentral. Lineage: Bacteria; Pseudomonadati; Bacteroidota.
AACCUAUCAGGAGGGGGAACGUAACCCGGCGAAAGUCGGACUAAUACCGCAUAAAACAGGGGGUUCCACAUGGAAAUAUUUGUUAAAGAAAUUAUCGCUGAUAGAUGGGGCAUGCGUUCCCAUUAGAUAGUUGGUGAGGUAACGGUUCACCAAGUCCACGAUGGAUAGGGGGUUCUGAGAGGAAGGUCCCCCACACUGGUACUGAGACACGGACCAG